Molecule: long non-coding RNA, 262 nt
Organism: Spea bombifrons (plains spadefoot toad)
Lineage: Eukaryota; Metazoa; Chordata; Amphibia; Anura; Pelobatidae
Exons: 4
Source: RefSeq, a predicted model, not a curated record
GGAGUGACCACCAAGAAAAAGGGAGAGUCCUCUGGGUCAUUUGUUCUGAGCUCAUCAUAUGAAUUUCAAAGCACCGUAUACACCGAGUUCUCCUACACUCUCCCACAAACAGAUAUCGCGUUGGACUCCAAACCUGCAACAGUUUCCGCGCAUUGUUCUUUGACAGGAACAGAAUUACCUGCAGAAAUUACAAUAGUUAUUUGCCCCAAGGGAUGUCUAAAUCAAAAAGGAGAAGUGUGGGGAUCAGACACCUACACAGAAG